RNAcentral lists this ribosomal RNA (429 nucleotides) under Bacteroidota bacterium. RNAcentral describes it as "Bacteroidetes bacterium partial 16S ribosomal RNA". It matches the Rfam family "Bacterial small subunit ribosomal RNA", at positions 355 to 776 of the family's 1533-position model. The record is from RNAcentral. Lineage: Bacteria; Pseudomonadati; Bacteroidota.
UAGGGAAUCUUCCGCAAUGGACGCAAGUCUGACGGAGCAACGCCGCGUGAGUGAAGAAGGAUUUCGGUUCGUAAAACUCUGUUGUUAGAGAAGAACAGCGCAUAGAGUAACCGUUAUGCGUGUGACGGUAUCUAACCAGAAAGCCACGGCUAACUACGUGCCAGCAGCCGCGGUAAUACGUAGGUGGCAAGCGUUGUCCGGAUUUAUUGGGCGUAAAGCGAGCGCAGGCGGUCAAUUAAGUCUGAUGUGAAAGCCCCCGGCUCAACCGGGGAGGGUCAUUGGAAACUGGUUGACUUGAGUGCAGAAGAGGAGAGUGGAAUUCCAUGUGUAGCGGUGAAAUGCGUAGAUAUAUGGAGGAACACCAGUGGCGAAGGCGACUCUCUGGUCUGUAACUGACGCUGAGGUUCGAAAGCGUGGGUAGCAAACAGG